GACGAACGCUGGCGGCGUGCCUAAUACAUGCAAGUAGAACGCUGAAGAGAGGAGCUUGCUCUUCUUGGAUGAGUUGCGAACGGGUGAGUAACGCGUAGGUAACCUGCCUUGUAGCGGGGGAUAACUAUUGGAAACGAUAGCUAAUACCGCCUAACAAUGGAUGACACAUGUCUUUUAUUUGAAAGGGGCAAUUGCUCCACUACAAGAUGGAUCUGCGUUGUAUUAGCUAGUAGGUGGGGUAAUGGCUAACCUAGGCGACGAUACAUAGCCGACCUGAGAGGGUUGUCGGCCACACCGGGACGGAGACACGCCCCAGACGCCUACGAGAGGCAGCCGUAGGGAAUCUUCGGCGAUGGGGGCAACCCUGACCGAGCAACGCCGCGUGAGUGAAGAAGGUUUUCUGAUCGUAAAGAUCAGUUGUAGGUCAAGAACGAGUGUGAGACUGGAAAGUUCACACAGUGACGGUAGCUUACCAGAAAGCGACGGCUAACUACGUG
This 497-nucleotide ribosomal RNA is filed under the name uncultured bacterium. RNAcentral's name for it is "partial 16S ribosomal RNA". It matches the Rfam family "Bacterial small subunit ribosomal RNA", at positions 28 to 507 of the family's 1533-position model. The record is from RNAcentral.